ACGAACGCUGGCGGCGUGCUUAACACAUGCAAGUCGAACGGAAAGGCCCCUUUGGGGGUACUCGAGUGGCGAACGGGUGAGUAACACGUGAGUAACCUGCCCUUGACUUCGGGAUAACUUCAGGAAACUGGGGCUAAUACCGGAUAGGAAUCCUUGCUGCAUGGUGGGGGUUGGAAAGCUUCGGCGGUUUUGGAUGGACUCGCGGCUUAUCAGCUUGUUGGUGGGGUAGUGGCUUACCAAGGCUUUGACGGGUAGCCGGCCUGAGAGGGCGACCGGCCACAUUGGGACUGAGAUACGGCCCAGACUCCUACGGGAGGCAGCAGUGGGGAAUAUUGCACAAGGGGCGGAAGCCUGAUGCAGCAACGCCGCGGGCGGGAGGACGGCCUUCGGGUUGUAAACCGCUUUCAGCAGGGGCGAAGCUUGUGGUGACGGUACCUGCAGAAGAAGCACCGGCUAACUACGUG
RNAcentral lists this ribosomal RNA (464 nucleotides) under uncultured bacterium. Its description in RNAcentral is "partial 16S ribosomal RNA". It matches the Rfam family "Bacterial small subunit ribosomal RNA", at positions 29 to 507 of the family's 1533-position model. The record is from RNAcentral.